AGGCCUCCCACUGCUGUGUCAUGAUGUUCUGACGACGUGGAACUGAAAACAGGGAAAGGGGGAACUGGAAGGAGGGGGAAAUUCAGCUAAACCACUGAAGCAAAAAGCCAUGGAUUAAUGGAUGGAUGGAUGGACGGACAGACGGAUGGAGGAGCAUGAUUGAAUAAAGAAUGAGGGUGUAACAGGUAGAAAAUGAGAAAAACCAUGAACAAACUGAUAAACAUAAUCAGUCCAAUUGAUUAACAAAUCAGAAAGUUCACAAUACAGUGCAACAAAUGAAUAAAUGAAUGAGAGAAGAAAAAAAAUCAGUUACCCAACAGAAAAAUCUUAUAACAAAUAAUGAGUCAAGUUAUACAAUAAAUCAUAUUAACUCUUGUUAGUUUGAAGAAGACUGUUAAAAAUAGAUUAUAAUUAUUUUUUUAUGUUAGAUUAUGUGGUUGUCUGCCUCUCCAAUGUAUUUGUGAGUGGGAAUGGAUGAAUGUGACCCUAGUGCAGGGGUCUUCAACUCCAGGCCUCAAGAGCAAGUGUCCAGCAUCUUUUCAAUAUGUCUACGAAGAAACACACCUGAAUCAAAUAAUGGAGCAUUAGAAGGACUCUGCAGAACACUAACAUGCUGAGGAGGUGUUCCCCAGGGUUUGGCGUUUGGCCCUCUACUCUUGGUCCUGUAAAAGAUAGCCCUAAGUUCCAUCAUCCACAUUCACUGCUAUGCCGACGAUGUCCAGCUCUACAUCUCCACCAAAUCUAUCAAACUGCAUGUGACAGCUGUCUCUACCAUCACACCGAGAUGUGAAUGGUAACUUAAUUUCUUCUUGUUUUGAGUUACCAGUUUCCUUUGGAGCUGCUGCUGGAGUGGUGCAUUGAAGAGCUCCAGCUGAUUGCUGUCCUUAAAUGGCUGGCAAACCUCCUCAGCAGGUCAUUCCAUUUGUUUGGUAGGGGAAGGGGAAAUUUGGUUUUCUUUAGUUUAAUUUUACUAUUUCUUUAAUAUUUCUUCUUUUUGGCAGUUAGUUCAGUUCUAGUAGUAUUUAUUUCAUUUAAAAAUGUAGUAUUGUGUUAACCAGUAUUUGUAUAAGUUUUUGUAUGUUUAAUUACCCCCUUGUGUGUCAGAGGUCUGAUCAGCCACUAUUUAAGUUCCCUUCAUGUCUUGUUUGUUUGGUCAAUUUUGUGAUUGAGUUCUUUGUGUUACUACCAGAGUUGUAGUUUGUUAUGUUGACCCAUAAUUUAUGGAUUGUUGGGUCCAAUUCAUAAUUUUAGAAUAAUUUUUGGAUUUUUUUGUAAGAAUUUUGUAAUAUUCUGUAAUAAAUUAAGAAUAUUUUUUGGAAUCCAUUCAGCGUUUCUCUGGUUGGUCUGUGUAAAACACUCACACUGCAUCUCACUCCAUCCUGGCCAGCUGUCUUACUGAGAUAAAAUUAUGGUUGCACUUAAAGUUCUUCAAACUCAACUGACAAGUCAGACAUCAACAUCAUUGGUCACCAAUCCCUUAUGUAAACAGGAUAUUUUUUUUUUCAUUUUUGUUAGAUUCACUUUUAUUUAUUUUUACUUAAAAGUAAAUACUCUUUUCCUUAUUUUCUUUAGCACAAAAAUUAACCAAACAAGAACAACGCCAUUCUGUAUUUGUUCUCGCGUGGUUGUGACCUGGUGCUGUUACAUCAGCGUCUUAAUAGGCAGCUGCCACUGUAGGAGAGCAACCUAUCUAGGCUGCUCUCCUACAGUAGCCUGCUGCAGGUAGGCUUCUAGCUGAUCGUAAGCCUUUAGCAAAUGUCUAUAGUGCUGUCUGUUACUCAUAUGCCUCUCAACCUUCAGAUAAAUGAUUGUGGAUCAAGACGUUCUAUCAAUCACGAGCUAGCAUGCUAGCAUAAGCUCCUGGCUAUUGUUGGGCUCGGUCAGUGUAAACAGAUCUGAGUGUGUUUAUUCACCUGGAUUAAGCAUUUAAAGUAAAAAUAUUUUGAAUGUAAAUCACUAUCCACUGUAUGUUAAAAGGAAAUGAAUGAGUACUCGCAUGAGUGAGUUCUUAUAUAAACUCAUUUCACUACAGUGAAAAGGAAAACAUGUACAUGUAUGAUUUUGUUUGACAGAAAAAAAACCCAGAUUGAUCAAUCAGGCCUGUUUUUACACAGGCCAGUUUCCCGUUCCAGGAUCCCGUUUCCAGAUCCAGGUUCAGUUCUAGAUUGUCUGUUGCCAUAUGGACCAGACUGGUGUGCUAACCCAUACAGCGAAUCUCCUCCUCCUUCCCAUCUGUAGAAGACAUUCACGCCACAGACAAACCUUCAUCUUCACCCUGGACUGGACCGCACUGAACUGAACUGGAUCCUUUUCUUUUUUCAUCAAUUCUCUCACUUCCAUCACGGAACUGAACUGGUUAAAUUUCUUGGUUAAAGGAAAAAAUAUUUUGAUUUCAUGAACAAUUUUGAAUAACUUGUCUGUAUAUAUUGUAAAUAUCAAUAAAUUUCACUAGUUUUGCGCCA
Molecule: long non-coding RNA, 2462 nt
Organism: Poecilia reticulata (guppy)
Lineage: Eukaryota; Metazoa; Chordata; Actinopteri; Cyprinodontiformes; Poeciliidae
Source: RefSeq, a predicted model, not a curated record